RNAcentral lists this ribosomal RNA (73 nucleotides) under Comamonas sp. JUb58. Lineage: Bacteria; Pseudomonadati; Pseudomonadota; Betaproteobacteria; Burkholderiales; Comamonadaceae. The record is from RNAcentral.
CGAACAGGACAGUGAAACGACUUCGCGCCGAUGAUAGUGCGGAUUCCCGUGUGAAAGUAGGUCAUCGUCAGGC